Molecule: ribosomal RNA, 439 nt
Filed under: uncultured bacterium
Lineage: Bacteria
Description: partial 16S ribosomal RNA
Rfam family: Bacterial small subunit ribosomal RNA
Source: RNAcentral
CUACGGGGGGCAGCAGUGGGGAAUAUUGCACAAUGGAGGAAACUCUGAUGCAGCAACGCCGCGUGGAGGAUGACACUUUUCGGAGCGUUUCCUCCUUUUAUAUAGGAAGAAGAUGACGGUACUAUAUGAAUAAGCGCCGGCUAACUCCGUGCCAGCAGCCGCGGUAAUAGGGAGGGCGCAAGCGUUACUCGGAAUCACUGGGCGUAAAGAGCGUGUAGGCGGAUUAAAAAGUCAGAAGUGAAAUCCUAUAGCUUAACUAUAGAACUGCUUCUGAAACUCUUAAUCUAGAAUAUGGGAGAGGUAGAUGGAAUUUCUGGUGUAGGGGUAAAAUCCGUAGAGAUCAGAAGGAAUACCGAUUGCGAAGGCGAUCUACUAGAACAUUAUUGACGCUGAGACGCGAAAGCGUGGGGAGCAAACAGGAUUAGAUACCCGUGUAGUC